This 492-nucleotide ribosomal RNA is filed under the name uncultured bacterium. RNAcentral's name for it is "partial 16S ribosomal RNA". It matches the Rfam family "Bacterial small subunit ribosomal RNA", at positions 29 to 507 of the family's 1533-position model. The record is from RNAcentral.
AGUGAACGCUGGCGGUAGGCCUAACACAUGCAAGUCGAACGGCAGCACAGUAAGAGCUUGCUCUUACGGGUGGCGAGUGGCGGACGGGUGAGGAAUACAUCGGAGUCUACUUUUUCGUGGGGGAUAACGUAGGGAAACUUACGCUAAUACCGCAUACGACCUACGGGUGAAAGCAGGGGAUCUUCGGACCUUGCGCGAUUGAAUGAGCCGAUGUCGGAUUAGCUAGUUGGCGGGGUAAAGGCCCACCAAGGCGACGGUCCGUAGCUGGUCUGAGAGGAUGAUCAGCCACACUGGAACUGAGACACGGUCCAGACUCCUACGGGAGGCAGCAGUGGGGAAUAUUGGACAAUGGGCGCAAGCCUGAUCCAGCCAUACUGCGUGGGUGAAGAAGGCCUUCGGGUUGUAAAGCCCUUUUGUUGGGAAAGAAAAGCAGCAGGUUAAUACCCCGCUGUUCUGACGGUACCCAAAGAAUAAGCACCGGCUAACUUCGUG